RNAcentral lists this non-coding RNA (92 nucleotides) under uncultured Neisseria sp. Lineage: Bacteria; Pseudomonadati; Pseudomonadota; Betaproteobacteria; Neisseriales; Neisseriaceae. The record is from RNAcentral.
AGUCGGGGUGCUGCUGCCGUAACGGGUGGCGGCUGAGAUGAUACCCGUGAACCUGAUACAGAUAAUGCUGGCGUAGGAAACUGAUGAAACUU